RNAcentral lists this long non-coding RNA (661 nucleotides) under Homo sapiens (human). Its description in RNAcentral is "novel transcript". Lineage: Eukaryota; Metazoa; Chordata; Mammalia; Primates; Hominidae. The record is from RNAcentral.
GAAAGAUUAGCUGAGUUUUUCUGCUGACUUAACUGUUGAAUAGCAUCAUCCUCAGGCACUACCAAAAGUGUUUAGAGCACUCUGUUGAAAAUGGCAGUAUUUGAAGAAACUGGAUGUCACUUAAAAUAUGAUCCUUGGAUAAACAUCACAUGCUGCUGGCCUUCUUACAAAAUGAGUGUGAGUGAAGUGCUUGGCUCUGCGAGAUGGUCCUGGAAUAUCUUCACCACUCUUCACAAUUACGUCCUCUUGCAUUCCCACUGAUCCUUCAGAAUUGUGUGGCCUUUCAACUUUCUGAAAGGCCUUCACUGUCUCUUAAUUCAAAUUCUCCACAUGUAAAUACAAGUCAGAUCACCUUACAAUUUAAUCUUUAAGCAAAACUGUAAAUCAUCAUUUCCCGCGACAUUACAAUUGUUGGGGGAAAGGUGUUUGGUGUCACAUCUAAUGGCUUGAAAACUCGGAGCAUCUCUGGACACAGUCAAUAUCCAGGUCUCAAAUAUGCAUUUACUGUGUUUAUUAUAAUGACUGCCUUUGUAUUCACUGCAAUCAUUUUCUACUGUUUCUUCCUUUGUGUAAUCAUUUCUUCCCUUCCCCUCCAUUGUAUUUUUUUAGAGUAAUUCUAUAUUCUGUUUUUGAAUACACACUUCUCUUUCUUUUAAAAUAA